This 492-nucleotide ribosomal RNA is filed under the name uncultured bacterium. Its description in RNAcentral is "partial 16S ribosomal RNA". It matches the Rfam family "Bacterial small subunit ribosomal RNA", at positions 29 to 507 of the family's 1533-position model. The record is from RNAcentral.
AGUGAACGCUGGCGGUAGGCCUAACACAUGCAAGUCGAACGGCAGCACAGUAAGAGCUUGCUCUUACGGGUGGCGAGUGGCGGACGGGUGAGGAAUACAUCGGAAUCUACUUUUUCGUGGGGGAUAACGUAGGGAAGCUUACGCUAAUACCGCAUACGACCUACGGGUGAAAGCAGGGGAUCUUCGGACCUUGCGCGAUUGAAUGAGCCGAUGUCGGAUUAGCUAGUUGGCGGGGUAACGGCCCACCAAGGCGACGAUCCGUAGCUGGUCUGAGAGGAUGAUCAGCCACACUGGAACUGAGACACGGUCCAGACUCCUACGGGAGGCAGCAGUGGGGAAUAUUGGACAAUGGGCGCAAGCCUGAUCCAGCCAUACCGCGUGGGUGAAGAAGGCCUUCGGGUUGUAAAGCCCUUUUGUUGGGAAAGAAAAGCAGCAGGUUAAUACCCCGCUGUUCUGACGGUACCCAAAGAAUAAGCACCGGCUAACUUCGUG